UGUGUCCUGGGAUAGAUAAGUGAUCCCUUUGUAAUCCCCUUUUCCAUCCCUGGCAUUGGU
Molecule: microRNA precursor, 60 nt
Organism: Monodelphis domestica (gray short-tailed opossum)
Lineage: Eukaryota; Metazoa; Chordata; Mammalia; Didelphimorphia; Didelphidae
Source: Ensembl